RNAcentral lists this long non-coding RNA (1851 nucleotides) under Mytilus galloprovincialis (Mediterranean mussel). The record is from RNAcentral. Lineage: Eukaryota; Metazoa; Mollusca; Bivalvia; Mytilida; Mytilidae.
AACUUUGUAGUUUAUAUUGUUAAAUGCCAAAAAAAGAAGUGGUUAUUUUGUAUCAAAAAUGAUACCACAACAAUUUAUAUGUAGCAUUUGGACCUGAAUUAAAAAAGAUUAAAAUCUUAUGGCCAACUUUAGCCCUUUUAAACCUACCGCUUUUAAGGAUUGAAUUGGGUUGUUGGAUUGAUGUCUUAUCAAUGUUCUCAAAACCUGUCACAUGUAUAUAACCCAUUUUAUAUAAAGUAGAUACGGUAUUCCAGAAGUGAUCCUUUAAAACAAUUUUGAUUGACUAAGCAUUUUAUAUUUCAGGUUAGCACCACAGCUUGUCUGUAGGGAUUGAAGCUGGGAAAGGGCCAUUGGAGCUGAAUUUUAUGGUAAGAACUAAAAAAAAGAUUGAACUAUUCAUCUAAGAGUAUGUAAAUGCACCAUGGACUUUUUUAUGUACACAUGUAGAUCUAACAUUUAAAAAAAAAAAUCCAAAUUAAAAGUUUAUUUAUACCGGUAAUCUGGAUAGGGUAUAUAAGAAUAAAGAGAUGUUAUAAGAUUGCCAACUACACAACUAUCAAUAAAGGAAGCAAAUUACAGUCACCGUAGGACAUUCAGCAAUGAGCAAAAUCUAUAUGAAUGUAAAUAAUGCAACUGGUUGAAUAUCACAAUAGGAACUCAGUGUAUUCAUAAUUUUAAUCUCUGAUGCAUAACUUUGAAGGCAGAUUUUUCUGAAAUCGGGAUUAUUAAUCUUGCAUAUUUAUCCAUUUAUUAAAAAAUCAAGAAUAGAUGCAUGCAAUAAUUUCUGAAUUUACAGUACCAGUUUUAAAGUAAGCUAUAAGAGGUACUGAAUAUGACAAAAUGUGAAACAAUUUCAAACAAGAAAACCAACGCAAUGAUUCAUGAAAAAGAAUAAUCGAAAAAAAUAAACAUGACACACACCAACCAUUGGUUAGUUUUUCAUCCUUAUUUGCUAAUAAUUGUAUUAGAUAUAGUUUAAAUUUUGAUAUAGGCUUGAUCAUAUGUUUUGACAGAUAUGUUUAAGAAUAUUUAUUUCUUUUUCAGGAAACUUUGACUGUGGCUGCCACAUAAAAUGAUUAUAUGAUAACAGUGAAGAAAGUUAGUCAGAAAACUUUUGUAUAUGUUUCAGAAAAUGUAAUUUUUUACAACAAAAAAAAACAAAAAAAAAGAAUGUGUAAAGAUUCUCCACUUUCAACUAGAUUGGAAGCUUGUAUUUAAAAUUUCAAAAUUACUCUUACUUUUCUUGUCGUGCUUAUAGAAACUGAACUUUAUAUGUUUCAUAAUUUAGAUCUUAUUCGUUAUUCCCCAACCCCCUGUAACUCUGUUUCAUUUUUACUUUGAAAAUGAAAUGAAACAGAAAAAAUUUACUUGUAAACUUAAUAAUGGUCUGUCUAGUCCAAAGGCUUUCAGUCGGUUAAGAAUGGAGAAUCUAAAAAAAAAAAAAUAAAAAAAAUGAAAAAAAAUAUAUUGUGUUUUUGUGUUUCCUGAAUUGUUAUAUAUUUUUCCAACUUUUUGUUAUUUUUUUGCAGUGCUUUUAGCUAAAAAAAUUAAAAUUAUUUCACUAGAAGCAGAGUAGAACAUAUUGGUGAAAAAAGAUUGAUUGAUUGAUUGAAUUUUGGUGUAUAAUGCCACUUUCAGCCCAAUUUGUAAUAUCUUGAUGGCCAUUUUUUAUGGGUUGAAAAAGUUAAAAGUAACAGUAGAUACCCACCAACUUUUCCCCCAGGGAACUGUCAAUUCUAGUCAAUUAAGCUUUGAGUCAAACACACCUACCACAGGUUGGGUUUGAAUUCUCAACCUCAUUUUGACAUGCUAGAGAUACAAUAAUACUUCUUAGACCACUGCCACUAAGGC